AGUGAACGCUGGCGGCAGGCCUAACACAUGCAAGUCGAACGGUAACACGAUAAAACUUGCUUCUUUCCUGACGCGUGUCGGACGGGUGAGUGAAGUCCGUCGAACUCUCUGAUUUCGUGGGAUAACUCCUGGAAACGGUAGCGAAAACCGCGUAACGUCGCUAGACCAAAGAGGGGGACAUUCUCGCCUCUUGCGAGCGUGAGUGCCCAGAUGGGAUUAGCUAGUAGGUGGGGUAAAGGCUCACCCAGGCGACGAUCCCUAGCUGGUCUGAGAGGAUGACCAGCCACACUGGAACUGAGACACGGUCCAGACUCCUACGGGAGGCAGCAGUGGGGAAUAUUGGACAAUGGGCGCAAGCCUGAUGCAGCCAUGCCGCGUGUGUGAAGAAGGCCUUCGGGUUGUAAAGCCCUUUUGUCGGGGAAGAAAAGCAGAAGGUUAAUACCCCGCUGUUCUGACGUUACCCAAAGAAGAAGCACCGGCUAACUUCGUG
RNAcentral lists this ribosomal RNA (490 nucleotides) under uncultured bacterium. RNAcentral describes it as "partial 16S ribosomal RNA". It matches the Rfam family "Bacterial small subunit ribosomal RNA", at positions 29 to 507 of the family's 1533-position model. The record is from RNAcentral.